UUUUUUUUUGUUGAUUAAUUUUCUCUACACACAUAUAUACAGGUUCACGGCUUACACAUAUAAAAGAUACUCCGUGCUAUGGAUUAAUUUGGUAAAUCUAUACUACUGUAAUUUCAACAGCUAAAUGAGUUCUUCAUAUGUAACCAAUAAUUUACAAGAAUAGUUGCUCUGGGCCAUCUUUUGUAGGAUUAUGUAUGAAGUGAUUAAUUCUGACAUAGAAAUCUAAGUGGAAACAUUUAAACUCAACUCUGUUUUGUAAGAUCUAGUUCUGAUUGUUCGGUCAGUCUCGAGAGUAAGUUUAGUUAGUAUAUUACUUACUAUUUAGUCCGUCUCAAGAUCUAUUUAGCUGCAGAGGAGAAGGGAUAUAUUACUUACUAUUUUUAUUUCCUCAAUUUACGUUUUGUAGGUAUUUGAUUGUAAUUGAUGGCAUGCAAACAGAAGAAUUGUGCAACAUAACAUCUGUAUUCCCUGUGGAUGACGGAGUGGACAGCAGAGUUAUUGUGACGACAACCAUUAAGAAAAUAGCAAGACGCUGCAGCUCUGCCAAUGGCCGUGUGUACAAAAUGAAAACACUUGAUGACAAUGAUUCAAGAAAGUUGUUCUUCGAAGUAUUUUCCAAGGGUAAGUAUUCCGUUGCUGAUGCAACGGAGUUGAAAGCAUCUGCCCUCCUAGAGAAAUGUGGCGGCCUACCGCUUGCCCUUGAAAGCAAAGCAAAGUUUCUGAAGAGUGAAGAAGACCUGACCAAGAGUAAAUGUGAAGAUGCCUGCCGCAAGCUUUGUGCUCCAGAAAGAUGUGAGGACACAUUGGGAAGAAUGCAUGGGGUUCUCGCCAGCAGCUACGAGAGUCUAUGUAGCCUUGUUCUCCAGCAGUGCUUGCUAUAUUUCUGCAUGUUCCCGCGUGGCCAUCGUGUCAGGCGGAAUCCUCUAAUCAGGCGGUGGCUGGCGGAAGGACUUGUACAUGUACAACCAGGGGAUGCAGUGAGCACCACACCCCAAGACAUCGCAAUUGAGAAUUUGGAGACCCUGAUCGACCGUAGUAUCAUUCAGUCCACGGAAGUGAGCACCUGUGGGAAUGUGAAGAGAUGCCAACCUCCUGGGAUGAUGCUCGAGUACAUUGUCCGCAAGUCCAUGUCUCAAAAUUUCAUCACCUUGCUUUGUGGUGAGAGUGAGACGGCCGGAGAAUGGGACUACGUUCGCCGACUUUCUCUCCAUGAUUACUGUGCUGAAAAACUGCCCAAGGGCUUAUCUCGUCUGCGGACCCUGGCGGUAUUCCCUACCGGGGAUGCUGCUAAACACGGACCUACAUUGAAUUUUGCCAAGUAUGACCUACUGCGAGUGUUGGAUUUAGAAGAAUGUGAUGGUCUGAAUGACGGGCACCUCCAGAACAUAUGCAACCUUGUGUUUCUGAAAUAUCUGAGCCUCGGGGGGCGCAUUAGUGAGGUUCCAAAGAAAAUUGCCAAGCUGCAAUGGUUGGAGACACUGGACCUGAGAAGAACCAAGAUAGAGAAGGUGCCCAUAGAAGUCAUCCAGCUCCCCCAAUUAAAACAUCUCCAUGGCAAAUUUCAGCUUAUCGAAGGUGACUGCGGAAAGAUAAAUUCAGAGUACUUGUCAAAGAGAAGUAUCUUGGAGACACUUUCAGGAUUUGUUACGGGAGAGAGCGAAGGAUUUCCACAGCUGAUGAGGCACAUGAAGCGGCUGAGGAAGGUGAAAAUAUGGUGCGAAUCCACCGCAAAUAGAAGAAACCUGGACCAACUUGAGGAAGCCAUCAAGAUGUUCAUUCGUGAUGGGAACGAAUGGCCUCAUCGUUCCCUAUGCAUUAACUUCCAAGAAUGCUCAGACCCAUUCUUGGGUUCUCUGAAAGCCCCUGGCAGUCUUGCCUCGCUGAAGCUGCGCGGCAACCUCAGCGGAUUCCCUCAGUUUGUUACCAAGCUGAACAGAAUCGAGGAGCUGUGUCUGUCGUCGACUAACCUAAGCCGAGGUGUUCUUCUAUCUGGGAGUCGUCUGGACACACUUAAGUAUCUGAAGCUGAUCGAAGACAACAUCGGGCCUCUCGAAAUACGCCACGAGCACUUCCCAAGCAUCCGGCGCAUAUGGCUCGUCGGCGUGAAAAGUCUGCACUCUGUAACGACCGGAGCUCUGCCACAUCUUACUUCGCUUCAUAUGAUCUGUGAAUCUUUAGAUGGUCUUGCUGGCAUCGAAAUCGGACGCCUAGAAGGAUUAAAGGAAGUCAGGCUGCAUUCUGCAGUCGACCAAGGAACAAAAGAUGCAUGGAAGGAAGCUGCAAGGAGCCACCCUAAAAGGCCUGACGUUCUUCUUCACUGACUACUGUUCUGUGCUGGGUCGAUGUAUCUCUUCAAAGUUAUGUAGAUUACUUGGUUACAAUUGUUGGUUUUAGGACAGAGAUAGUCAUUUCUAUUGCUGCUUUUUAUUCUUACUACACAAUCAUCUGUGUGUGGCAACGGGAGCAUAGUAUUUUAAUAGAUUAGCCCGUGAUUUACGUUAUCCAUAUGAAUGUGAUUGUGUAAAUAAAGUAUUUUAUUUGGUAAGCAUUCAUUGACUUACCAAAGAAAACAUAAGGGCAGUGCCAUGUGUCAUCGAGUGAUAAUGUAAAAAGAUUGACCGUCUCGCCCGCUGUUGGAUGGAGCCCCGAAUAGCCGCCUGAUCUCUCCCAUGUGAGCGUGGGUCUUUGCAACAAGGCUUUUUUUAAGGGAGUCUUUGCAACAAGGCUAGUGUUACGGUCGGCCCUAUGCAACCGGAGCCUUGUUGCAAUCUUCCGGGGCCGCUUUUUUUCCUUCUAAAACAAGGCCUUUGUUGCAGUCACAACAAAGUCUGCAAUAAAAUCCCAUGAUUUAUUUGUUUUCUCCUUGUCCUUUUAUCCCUUGAAACAAAGCCUCUUUUCCAAUCGCAGCAAAAUCCCAUCAAUUUGUUGACAAGGGAAACACUAGUGUUCCUACCAUCUAACCCUUUGAUUUGAGGAAGGUUUCUAUUGAAAUUGGCGGCCUACAGCGAGUGAAAAGGGGUGUGUGGAUUGGUUCCUGAUAAGAUGGACCUUUCUCUGCUCCUCUUGUUACCAAACGGAGCCAUCAAACAGGGAAGAUGAGGGGGAAUGAGGCCAUGUUUGUUUGGGUUUUUACUUCUGCUUUUUAGUUUUUCCAUUUUGACAAAAGGCCAAAAAAAACUCUUAAAUAUGUGCUUCGGCUUUCCGGCAUUGCCCCCUCGUCCCAUUCCGGCUUGGCUCUUUGGUAGGUGUUGCAGAUGUCUUGCUCUUGGUCAUCAAGCGGCUGAUUGCAGAGAUCCCUUGAGGUGCUUCCGCUGUUUGGAGAACGGCCACUGGGCGCGUGGGUGUCGCAAUGCUUGGCAUCCAUUCAGCUCACUUGCAUGCCUUGCCAUGCCGCCACGGUCUCGCCUCGACACCGAGCAUUGCCGAGCUCCAGCUCCUUGUGAUGGCCCGAUGGAAUCCCAGCUCCCCUCCAAGGCGCUUCACCGCAGGUCCUGGGCAUCGGCCGUUUCCGCUCAUGCUGAGUCGGCAACCCCAUCUGAUGUACUGCUCCAGUCCACUCUAGCAGCCCAGGCUGAGCUCCUGGUGCGUGUUGGGAGCUUUCUGGAGCGAGCGGAGGCUGCUCUGGAAAAGCUCUCUCUUGUGCCGGCUGUGUUGCAAUCCGCUCCUACGCCACAUCCUCCUAGUGAGGUUGAUGUUGGUGGCUCAGUGGAGAAUAGGGUUGCGGAGCUCUAUGGUUGUUUCUCCCCUAGAGCUAUGGACAACUCAUCAUCGCCGUCUGCCUUGGCCACUUUGAUGUCUACCGCUAAGGGCGGGACCAUUGCCGUGGUUGUGCCUCCAGUGCUGCAGGUGAUGCCCGAGCUUCAAGUGUUAUGUGCGAGCUCUGAUUCACCUCUAUCAGUGGAGAAUAUGAUGGUGGAGACGCAGGCAACCACGUGCGAGGGGCAUGAUUCAACCUUGACAUGUGAGCUGAGUGAGGUGAACUCGCCUGCGCGCUCACAUGUGGCUUCUACUCCCAGUCCACCCCCGCCGACGGAUAAUUCCAAUGCUCUCUUUGCAAAAGAGCUUUGUGACUUGCUCGCUAGCGUGGAGACUGUUAGCCCUGGAACUGGAAGGGCGAUUGCUUGCCUCCUGACGGGAACGACAUUCAAGGGCAAAUACAAGAAGGCGAGUGAUUGCCCUCGGACCGGUAUAGUGAUGGAGAAGCCACUAAGGUGCAAAGGCAAGAAGAGUGGCGCCAUAGGUAAGGCGCCCGCAGCUGCUUAAUGGAUGAUUCCCGGUCCCUUGGUUCAUACUCACAGUUUGGGGUCGUCAUUGUGAUUUCAGCGUGGUCCACUAUCUUUUGUUGGGAUGUUCUUGUCGGAUUCAAAAUUGUGGUGUACAAGUGUGAGGAGUUAUUGUGUGUUAGGAGGGGUUGGCGGGUUGCACGUGUGCUCAUGGGGUCAUGAUUGGUGAGUAACCCAAUUAUGGUCUGAUUGUAUCGGUUUUAGCCCGAUUUUCCUUGGAUUAACCGGGCAAUUUUCUUCUUCUUAAUUAAUCGAUGAGGCAAUUCUUUUGCCUCUGUUUCAAAAAAAUAAAAUAAAGAUAUUGAUUCAUAAGCCAAAAGCCGAAGCAAAAAGUCCAUAUUUAGGAGUUUUUGUGCUUUUUUUUAAAAGUGAAAAAGAUGCAAAAGCAGAAGCAAAAAACCAAAAAAUAGGACAUGAGGCAACGACAUGUAUGGAAGUUGUGCCGGCGGGUAGAGUUGGGAGGGCGACCUGUAUGGAAGUUGUGCCGGCGGGUAGAGUUGGGAAUAUAGCUGGCCAUAAAUUGGGUCAGGCCUAAUAAAGCCCGUAGCAGAAAACCUAGGCCUGGGCCUAGAUUUCAGCCCCAGGCCCGAUCCAUCAGAGGAAAAGCCCGUCGGGCCUCAGGCCGGGCCUCUUCCCUAAAACGCAAAUAUGCCAAGCUCAAGCCCGACCCAUGGGCAAGACUGGGCUGACCGGGCCGGGCCUAAUAAAGCCCGUAGCAUAAAACUUAGGUCCGGGCCUAGAUUUCAUGCCCAGACCUAUCCCUUCAAAGAAAAAGCCCGUCGGGCCUCGGGCUAGGCCUAAAAUGCAAAUAUGACAAGCCCAAGCCCGGCCCAACCCAGCCUUUGGGUUCAGAUUUCAGGCCCAGGCCCGGCCCAUGGGCAAGACCGGGCCGGGUUUUCCAUGGCCAGGUAUAGUAGGGAGUCACUGCUCUGAAUUUUUAUAUGGUGGAGAUGCUCUUAGGGGUCGUAAUCUGAACCGUGAGACAGGUUAGGGGUAACAUUGACUUCUCUCUUGGGUUCUUCUUCUUCCAUGAGUCCCGUUCACCACACCUGUGCUGCCAUGGCGUAGCUCCACCUCGUGCUCCUCAAUCGGAAUCUCUUGGUGCAGGUAAUUCCGCCCUCUUUUUAUUCUGCUGCUGCUUCGCUUCUCACCCAUGACUACCACAGCUGUCUUGUUCUUGCUUCAGCUACAGGCGGGGAUCGAUGUUCCGAUUUAUCAGUGCUUGGCUACAGGUGGUGCUCCGGUAUAUCGCCGCAUGGCUUCAGGCGGCGGCGGCCGCGGCGGCGGCAGCGGCGGAUAAACUGGAUGCUGCGUCGCUCUCGCUUCAGGGGACGGCGGCCAUGGAUUUUCCUGCUACUGUUUCGCUUGGCCCCCUCCACCGGCAGCUCCAUUCAUUCAGGGCUGCCACGAACAAUCUCCCCGACGGGGUUAGCGAUGGCGAGGUCCGGCGCCUCGAAGAAGAUCUGGAGACACUGUUCACCGAGCUCAAGAUCGUGUCGGAGGCGGACGACCCCAGCUUCACGGCCAGGUGCUGGAUGAAGGAGGUGCGGGAGCUCCGCUACGACGCAGAGGACUUCUUCAACGAGGUCCCGCGCUCCUCCGCCGGCGCCGGCAGAAGCGCUCUUCACACCCUCAUUCUUUCGAUCCCCAGAAAACUGAAGCUUCGGCGCCAGGUUGCAGAAGCUUUCUCAGAUCUGUGUGCUCGUGCCAAGGAUGCGAGUCAAAGACGCCAAAGUUUCCAGCUUGGACCAGCAACCAUCAGACCUGAAUCUGGACAAGUCAAUGUCAGCCGCUCCAAGAGCCUCGGACUUAUUGGCCUUGAGGAGUCCAUGGAUAAGCUUGUCAAACUGAUGGCUUUAGACGACCAAGAGAUUGCAGAGCUGCUGGCUUUUGACAGUGAAGAUACAGAGCAACUAGUUCAGGUGGUACCUAUCUUUGGAUCUGCAGGUGUUGGCAAAACAACACUUGCCAGAACCUUCUACCGUAACUUCGGGGGGAAAUUCCAGUGCCGGGCUUUCGUGCGGGUGUCUCGAAAUCCAGAUAUGAGGAGGAUGCUUUCCAGCAUGCUCUCACAAAUUAAGGCACCGCCGGUUCAUGGCUUUCCUGAUGUGCAGGACCUUAUUGACCAUAUCAGAGGAUAUCUGCAAUGCAAAAGGUACAUAUUCUAUUAGUACUGAAUACUCCUGAUGUGCAUAAGUACCUUUCAACAAUAUGUACAUUUCAGUUUGUGCAUCAGGGUUGUUAUGCUCAAUCCUGAUGUACACGAUCAAGUGUGCUUUCACCACCGGUCCAUCAGGAAUAUGUACAUGUACCUUUUGCAUUGUUGAAUAUGUACAUUUAGGAAUAUGUGCAGGACCUUAUUGACCAUCCCAGAGAAUAUCUGCAAUGCAAAAGGUAUAUUAACAAUAGAGAAUAUCUGGAAUGCAAAAGGUACAUGUACAUGUCUUUUAACUGGACAAACGGUGCAUUGUUGAAAAACAAUGAUAAAUGUUUGAGCAAAUAAGCACUACUGUAUAUCUUAAGAGGCUAUUUGGGUUGGAUUUAGGAAAAAUAAACCUUUUCAAUUUUCUAUUCUUCAUGAAUUUUGAUUGCAGGAAGUUGAUGAAUUGGGAAAAGUAAACCAUUAUUUUUGGAUUCCUUAUCACACAUGUACAUGUACCAAUCUAGAGCCCAGGGGAAUAGACAAAGUUGCCUCUUAUGUAAUCUUAAGAGCAUAAGUUUUUUUUCAAUACUUUUUUUCCGGUGUAGCAAAUUACUUGUUUCGAUUGUUUACUUCACUGCCUGAUUGAUCUUCCUUUGGCUAUACCAAUUUCCUUAGGAUAUAGUAUUUCUUACUUUAAGAUUACUAACAAUAAUACCAAUUUCCUUUUAAUUUGUGGUUAAUUUAUUUAUUUUAUUUUGGCUAUACUUCUUUCUUUCUUUUUUGUCAGCUUGACAAACAUAUUUAUUGUGAAUAAAAUAUUCUGCAGAUACUUGAUUGUAAUUGAUGACUUAUGGGCCUCCUCGACAUGGGAUAUUAUUAGCCGUGCUUUCCCUGAUGGUGAUUGUUGCUGCAGAAUAAUAGUAACCACGGAAAUCAAGGAUGUAGCAUUGGCAUGCAGUAGGUAUCAGUUUAAGUACAUGUAUGAGAUGAGUCCUCUUAACGGUGAUCAGUCAAGACAGUUAUUCCUCGGUAGAGUUUUUGGGUCUGAAAAUGGUUGUCCUCCAGAUUUCAAAGAAGUUACAUAUGAGAUUAUCCGAAAAUGUGGAGGUUUACCAUUAGCAACUGAAAAUAUAGCCAGCAUGUUAGCAUGUGAAUUAAACAUUGAUCAAUGGAAGCACAUACGAGAUUCUUUACCCUCUGUUUUGAGAUUGAGGACAGACCCUAGUUCGGAAGGGUUGAAAGAAGUUCUGAACAUUAUUUAUGAUAAUCUUUCACCAUAUUUGAAGACAUGCUUGCUAUAUCUUAUUAUGUAUCCAGAGGGAAGCACUAUCAGCAAGGACGAAUUAGUGACGCAAUGGAUAACUGAAGAUUUUAUCGGCGAAGGGCAAGACAGGGAGAAAAUUGCACGGCAUUAUUUUGAUGAGCUUGUGAGUAGAGGAAUGAUCCAACCUCUUGACAGAAAUUAUAACGAUGAGGUGUUGACAUGUACAGUUCACCACAUGGUACUAGAUCUUAUUAGGUACAAAUCUCUGGAGGAGAAUUUCAUCAUUAUUGUGAGUUGUUUUCAAACAAUUACAGGUCUUCCUGACAAGGUUCGUCGACUGUCUGUCCAGUUCGGUGGUGCAAAAUGUGCUAAUAUACCGGCAGACUUUAUGAUGACUCAAGUUAGAUCGCUUAUAUUUUUUGGCUUCUUGAACUGUGUGCCUUCCUUUGUGGAAUAUAAGCUGCUUCGAGUUCUGAUUCUUCAUAUCUGGGCUGAUCAAAGCAAAAUAUUUGACCUCACUAGAAUUAGCAAACUGUUUCAGCUGAGGUAUCUGAAAAUUGAUUGCAACAUCACUGUCCAUUUGCCAGACGAGAUUCAGCAGCUACGAUUCUUGGAGACAUUGGAAUUGCAUGCACCAGUAAGUGAUAUGCCAUCGGAUAUUAGUUGCUUGCCCUUACUUCACACGCUGGGCUAUUUUGAUCUCGGCAAGAACUCAAUAGAGAAUGUACAGAGCCUUGGCGAGCUGAACAAUCUCCAAGACCUUCAUCUCACCUGGUCUAACAUAUCAGACCCUGACAAUCUGAAGAACAAUAUGCAAUGCCUGGGCUCAAUUCUCCGGAAACUCGGCAACCUCAAGUCUUUAACUUUAGUACGUGCAGCCUCCUCUCAUGCAGAUGUAACUCUAAUACGUGCAGCCUCCUCUCAUCCAGAUGUUUUAGACGAUGCUGGUGGUGCAAUCUUGGGUAUUUCUGGCGAUGUCUUGAGCAGCGUGUCCUCUCCCCCGCCCCUUCUUCAGAGGCUUGAGCUGUCAGGGCGCUGUUGCAUCUUUGCCAGCCUACCUGAGUGGACCAAAGAACUUGGCAAUCUCUGCAUUUUGAAGAUUUCAGUUAGGAAGUUGUUGAGGAAAGAUAUUGAUAUCCUCAAAGGAUUGCCAGCUCUCAUGGCUCUCUCGCUGUACGUUUGGACUGCCCCUGUAGGAAAGGUCGUCUUUGAUAGUGAGGGGUUCUCAAUUCUCAAAUACUUCAAGUUUACAUGUGCUGCCCCAUGCCUGGCAUUUCUGAUAGGAUCAAUGCCUAGCGUCCGGGAGCUUAAGCUAGCAUUCAAUGCUAAUAGAAUGGAGCAAUACAGCCAGAUAGUUGCUGGCUUAGAGUACCUGAUAGAACUUAAAGAGAUAACUGCAAAAGUUGGGGGCACUGGUGCGGAUGAAUCUGAUAAAAGGUACGCGGAGUCGGCAUUGAGGGGCGCCAUUGCCAAUCAUCCAUGCGCUCCUAUAAUCACAGUACAAUGUGUAGAUCGGAUUUUGUAUGGUGAGGACGAUAUGAGUGCCGUCACACAAGAACAAGAACACUGGACUCUGGAAGAAGAACAUGAGAUACAAGAGGAAUCACUUGAUCCUCUUCCUGAACUUAUUCCCAUUCCAAGCACACAAACACAAAUGAGAGAUGGAAGCCAGAAUGGUGGAACAGAUAGCUCAAGGGAGGUGCUGACACAAACAAGAGAGGAAGUUCAGGAUGAAUUAAUAGAAAGAUCGAUGGAGGUCCUGACACAUGAACGGGAACACUUAACUCUGGAAAGACAACACGAGAUUCAUGAGGAAUUGCUUGAUCCUCUUCCUGAAGUUGUUUCCACUUCAAGCACACAGACACAAGUGAGAGAGGAAGUGCGGGAUGGAGAAAUAGGGAGAUCGAUGGAGGUGCUGACACAAGAGCAAGAACAGUGUAUCGUGGAACAACAAGAUGAAAUGACAGACGGAGUGCUGGAUGUACAAAUAGGGACAUUGAUGGAGGUGUUAGCACAAGAAGAGCAAUGGCGGAAUAAUAUGCAGAAUAGUGGAAUCGGGAGAUCGAUGGCGGUGGUGAGCGCUUCCCAUGGCACCUUGGAUCCCCUACUGGACAAGCUCAAUGCUUUGCUCAGCGAGGAGUAUGGCAACUUGGAAGGUGUCCUCCAUGAAGUCAGUGCCCUCAAAUCUGAGCUGACAUUAAUGCAUACGGCGGUAAGAAAGUACACGAUGCUAGAAGAUCCAGAUGUCCAGGUGAAGUUAUGGCUAUCGUUGCUGAGGGAGUUUUCCUAUGAUGCAGAGGAUUACAUUGAUAAGUUCAUUCACCAGCUCGACAAUGGCGGACAUCAUGGCGGAUUCAAGCAGAUCUUCGGCAAGACUGCUUGCCAGCUGAAGACGCUUGGAUCUCAGCAUGAAAUUGCAGAAAAAAUCGAUGAGCUGAAAGAUCGUGCCAAGAACUUGAAAGCGAGUAGUUACAAGAUGGAUGAUACUGCUUGCAUCACAUCUUGCCAUUCCACCGUGGAUCCCCAGUUGGCUGCUCUUUUUGUUGAUUCUGCACACCUUGUGGGCAUUGACAGUCCAAGAGAUGAUCUUGCCAAGUGGACGGUCGAAGUAGGAAACAGCUCGGCCAAGCAUCAUUGCAGGAUGUUAUCUAUUGUUGGGUUUGGUGGAUUGGGAAAGACAACACUAGCGAAUGAGGUGUAUCGCAAGGCUAAAGGGCAUUUCCAUUGUCAGGCUUUUGUAUCAGUCUCACAAAAGCCAGAUAUAAAGAAAAUUCUCAUGAACUUGAUCUCCCAAGUGUCUCCCCAUGGAUUCACGAAAGAUACUUACAAUUGGGACAAAAUGAGAUUCAUUAGAGAGCUAAGAAAACUGCUAAAGGAUAAGAGGUAAUUUCAGCCCACAUUCUUUCCUGCAAAACAUGUAUCAUCUCAUGCGUAUUCUCAUUGAUUUUGACUGUAGUUACUGCUUGUACAAUUGUUUUUCUCAACGAACACCACUACGAUUCUAGCAUUACUUUAGUUUUUUACAUCAUGGCCUAUGCAGUACUAUAAUGUCCAAAUGAUGAGUACAAUAUUGUAUACACCUUGGUCCUGAAUUACCCUUCUGAAAUAUGGCUAAAAACGUCCAAUGCAGGAAACUUCUGUCAUAUGAAAGUAUGCAUAGCCAAAUAGCCAAUAACUAUUCCUUAUGUUCUCGUCUUAUCGAUAAUAUUGCCUUGAUUACUGUGCACUUAUAAUCGGAGGUAAAAAGAAAAAAACAUCAAGAAAUCGGUGUUAGUUAGAAGCACUAAACAGAUAUGCAAAAUGACUAACUGAACUAAAUUCCAAGACUUGGUAUGAGGAAGAUUAGAGGUGAGUUGUAGUAAGUAUAUUGCCCACCAUUACGUAUCAUCUUUGGCUCCUGAGUGGAUGCAACUUAAUAGUAACAAUCUGAUAACUACCCAUCCUUAUCAAACAAAUAUUAGUUGUUAAAUGAUGCUGUGAACUUCAGUUAAGUGGAUGCAAUACUGAUGUACGCAUAAAAUUGGAUAUGGAAAUAUAAGGAACAGUGGAACAAUAGCAUGAUGCACUUAAUACCCUCCGUUCCAAAUUAGAUGACCCAACUUUGUACUAACUUUGUACUCCCUCCAUUUUUGUAUACAUGGCCACUAUCAAAAUUACAAUUUGCAACUAUACAAGGCCACUAACAUUAAUCGAGGCAAAAUUAAUGGUGUUUGCCUCGUACUAGCACCCGGGGACAUUAAUAUCAUUUGCGUGCAUGCGGGAGUGAGAAGGUUGGCUUGCAUUCCCAACAUUAAUCAACCAAUGAGGAGUAAGAGGGUUAUCUUGUUGUGCGUGGUAGAGAAAAGCCUCAUUAAUUAACACGACAAACAAGCUGACAACCUAGCUUGCAACAUUGACUUAAACAUUGCAUUGAUUUUUACCUUGGUACCUGUAAUAUGGGUUUGUGGCCUUGUAUACAAAAAUAGAGGGAGUACUAAAGUUAGUACAAAGUUGAGUCAUCUAUUUUGGAACGGAGGGAGUAUUUGAGUACCCAUUGGAGUUUUAUGGAUUUUUUACCUUUUCUAUCUGAAUUACUUAGCAUAAUAAUUGAAUCUGUUUUCUAAUACUAGGUAUCUUGUUGUCAUUGAUGAUAUAUGGUCCAUAUCGGCAUGGAACAUUAUCAAGUGUGCUUUUCCAGAGAAUAACUGUUCUAGCAGAGUUAUAACUACUACACGCAUUAUUGAAGUUGCAAGGUCAUGUUGUAUGGGUCAAGAUGACCGCAUGUAUGAAAUGCAACCCUUAAGUGAUUUUCAUUCUAAAAGAUUGUUCUUGAGAAGAAUUUUUGGGUCCAAGGAUAGUCCCGAUAUGCUGAAAGAAGUUUCAAAUGAAAUUUUGAAAAAAUGUGGAGGCCUGCCGUUGGCAAUUAUCAGUGUAUCUAGUUUAUUGGCAAAUAGGCCAGCUAACAAAGAGGAGUGGGAAAAAGUUUGUGCAUUGGACAAAGACAUAGGUCUAGAGGAAAUGAACAGAAUACUAUGCCUUAGCUACAAUGCUCUUCCAGAUAAUCUCAAGACUUGUUUGUUGUAUUUAAGUAAUUUUCCUGAGGGCUGUGUGAUUGAGAGAGAGAGAUUAGUGAGGCGGUGGAUAGCAGAAGGCUUUAUCUCUGAAAAUCAUGGGCAGAGUCAGCAAGAGGUCGCAGAGUGGUAUUUCUAUGAGUUUAUCAAUAGAAGUAUGAUUCAAGCAGUGGACAUCCGCUAUGAUGGUAAGGCUCGUGCAUGUCGAGUCCAUAACAUGAUGCUUGAACUCAUCAUUUCAAAGUCAGCUGAGGAUAAUUUUGUCAUGGUGAUUCGUAGCAGGCAGACUGGUUUGGUAAAUCGCCAUGGUUGUAUUCGACGGCUAUCAGUCCAGCACAUUGACCAGAAUCUUGCAUCUGUAUUGGCAAAUGAAGAUCUAAGCCAUGUUCGCUCUUUAACAGUAACAUCAUCAAGUUGCAUCGAACACUUGCCUAGUCUUGCUUGCUUUGAAAAUUUGCGUGUACUAGAUUUUGAAGGGUGUGAUGGAUUGGAAAAGUAUCACAUGAAGGGUCUUGGCAAGUUUUUCCAACUAAAGUACCUGAGCCUUAGGGGCACUUGGAUAUCACAUCUACCAUCAGAAGUUGUGAUGUUACAUAAUCUAGAGACCCUAGAUAUUAGGGAGACACAUGUAGAAGAGUUGCCUGCUGAAAUUGUCCACCUUACGAAGCUACAACAUCUUAUCGCUUCAACAGAUUAUGUAAUGCCUGGAAUAAAGAUACCAGAUGGAAUCGGGAAUAUGAGGAACUUACAGGUAUUGUUGGGCUGUGGUAUCAGCUCGGGUUCUGUUGGUGCACUAGAGGAACUCGGUAACUUGACCAAUUUGAAUGAGCUCGAUGUACAGUAUUGGGGAAUAGGAUCCGAGUACAAGUGGCAUGAAGACAGGUUCCUCUCCUCAUUAAUCAAGCUUGGUAGCUGCAAGCUACAGUCUUUUAGGAUAUGGAGGAAGUGCCCUGGUGAUGUCAAGUUCUUAGAAUCAUGGUUCCCUCUGCCAUUUUCCCUCCAAAGAUUUGAGAUGAGCGGCUGCUACAGUUUCAAGUGGAUUCCAUGCUGGAUUUCACCAGCACUGACCAGUCUUGCAUACCUAGAAAUUAAUAUAGUGGAAGUAACGCAGACGGAUCUGUGCAUACUUGGAGAGAUGCCUGCCUUGCUUCACCUGAGGCUAACAUGCCGGACUUUCAGAAAAGAAAGGCUUAUUUUUUACGGCAGAGGAUUCCAGCAUUUGAAGGAAUUUGUUUACGAUGCUGCUGUAUUGCCAUCGGGAAACCUUCUGUUUAUGGAAGGGGCACUGCCAAUGCUCGAGGAUCUUAGCCUAAUCUACUGUGUAUCAAUGGUUAAUGCUUAUGGGUUUUUCUUGGGUAUCGAGCACCUCCCAAGACUGAAAAAUGCACAAAUUCACCUCUACAAACAGGGCGCGGCAUCUUCUGAUAUCGCUUCCGCAGAAGUUACUAUCAGGAAUGAAGCAGAUGACAAUCCCAACUGUCCCAGAGUAACUCUGGUAGAACAUGUAAAGAGGGAGGAUUAUUGCUCUGACGGCUGUCCUAACAGAACCGUGACAGAUCAAGGACUAGAUGCCAAUACAACUAACCAGAAGGUAUUGAUCAUUUUUUUUACCAAGUUUUAGUGGUUCAUGGUUACAACAAUCACUCCUUUGCUUUGACUGUUAUGCAUUUUAUCCAUUUUUUUGACUUUUUGACCCCAUAUUGCAGGGUGGAUCUCGAAAGGCAACAAAUCAAACUUCAAAUCGUUGAGAAACCUAUUUCUCAGCCGCGUGCCUUACCCUUUUUAGGGAACUUGUUAAAUUCAUGAAGAACUACAGGUGAGAUCUGGCAAGCUGCUGCUCGCUCGACUGGAACGCUCGAACAAAGCCUGGAAUGAAGCAGAUGCCCAUCCCAACCGUCCCGGAGCAACUCUGGUAGAACAUGCCAAGAGAGAGGAUAUUGCUCUGGCUAAUGAAUGUUCUAACGCAACUGUGACAGAGUUCCGCUGACAAAUCCAGAAUUAGUUGCCAAUACAACAGCUAAGCAAAAGGUAUUGAUCAAUUCUUUUACCAAGUUUUAGUGGCUCAUGGUCCCGACAAUCACUCCAGUGCUGUCUCUGUUGUGCAUUUUAUCCAUAUCACUGAGACGCCUAUUUCUCAGCCGUGUGUCUCCUACCCUUUUUAGGAACUUAAAUUCAUGAAGUACACUACUAGUGAGAGCUGGCGCGCUGCUGCCCGCUCAACUGGAACGCUGUGGUGAAGCCUAGAACGCUCGAGCAAAGGGGCCAGCCCCAGUUGGAGGGGUCAUAAAUGCUAUUCCCUCUGUCCCAUAAGUGUCAAAAAACGUCUUACAUUAUGGGACGGAGCGAGUAUUUUCUAUGUGAUACUAUGAGAAUUUUGUUGUUGUUGAACUCUGUAUGCGAUUGUUUUAACUGAUUAAGAAUUAAGCUUGCCUCUUGGGCUGGAGCCUUGGUCUUAUUUACUGGAGUAUUCUCUUUUGUGUGUGUUGUAAGUUUACCCGGUGACUUUUAUCAACCGAAGAGAUGGAAAUGUACAGGAGAUGCAGGCUCUUCAUGGACCCUGUAUGCAUGCUUCUUUACAUCCCCUCUUGUGGCAUUUGCAACAAGGCAGGCUGGCCAUCUGAAAUUUACAAUAUUCUCUGGUGCACUUUUACAAUAUGAAUUGUCGUCCAACUGUUUAAAAGCAUGGGAUUGCAAAAGGCUCUGAAUGUUGGCCCUGUGUAUUGAAAACUCUGUAGAGGCCAGCUAUCGCACGGUUGGUUUAUAAGGUGUAAUACGUAUUUCGUGAUUUACUUCAUGAGUUAGACCAGAGAUAUGUUUUUCUUCUAUAAACUUGGUCAAACUUUACAGAAGCCGACUUAGAACAAAGCUAACACGUCUUGAUUUCAGACAUGAGGAACUAGAUGAUCGGGUUCACAGAAAUGAAACAGAUAGACAACGCCAUCAUUUACGGCAAACAUCACUUACACAGAAAUGAACAUGAUAAUUACUUGCACAGAAAUGAACAUGAUAAUUUUCUGGACAUAAUGUCAAGGCUCUGCUCUUGCUCAGGCUGCAGGAAAUCCCCAGUCUAGAUGCUACAGUUGAUUUGAUGUAUUGAAAAGAUAUGAACAUCUAAAAUACCUAAAUAAAUACUCCCUCGGUAAACUAAUAUAGGACGUUUUAGAGACUUGUGUAGGGAGUACAUACACUAGGGAAACACGGUUGAAGAUUUAUCAGCUGACGUUAAUUUGGUAUGGUAUUUUCUCGCUAAACUUUGGUCAGAGUUCACAAGGUUUGGCUCAGAAGUCAGAACAAAACUGACAUGUCAUGGAACGGACGGAGUAGAUAGUUACAUUCACAAAAAUGAACCUAGUAAACAAAUCAUUUACGGUGAACAACGCCCCCCCUCUUCACAAACUAGACAAAAAAGACAUCAGUUUGAGCAUGGCUACAAACUUGCAGCAGCAGCAUAGAAACCCAGCGGCCAGCUGUCGACUCAGUUUGCGCUACAGAUAUAUAGCUAAAAUUUAUCCACAACAAAUAAAAAAACAAAAUGGAGACCAACAUGCCACAUGACAACGCAUGACCGAAAUAAUGAGGGAAAAGGCUAGAUGCAUAUCCAUCUAGGGUUGCUGCAGGUAUAGCAAACUAGCCAUAUCAUAUUUGUCGCAGAUUUAAUCAAAUGCAUUAUUAUUUAGUUCUCUUCACAUGAAGAGGAUGACCAAAGCCUAUCAGGAUACAAAACUAGGAGGAUCACCAUCUAGAAUUUUUUUUGAAACCGUAGAAACCAAUGAAUCUCUGCAUAUCAGAAGAAAAACGAGCCUCUUCUGAAGAUAGACAUAACAGGGGAACUCAGUUUCAUUCCGGAACAAGAUUGCUCUAGAAAGAAAAGCUGGCCAUUGACUCUAGCUAGCAAAGAUCGGAUCACAAAACGAUAGAAGCUUCCACCAGAGUUUGUCUUUAGUCACAAUGCUCAUGAUCUCACUCCAGCAUCUUACU
This 16218-nucleotide long non-coding RNA is filed under the name Triticum aestivum (bread wheat). RNAcentral's name for it is "long non-coding RNA (TAES_LNC013939)". The record is from RNAcentral. Lineage: Eukaryota; Viridiplantae; Streptophyta; Magnoliopsida; Poales; Poaceae.